RNAcentral lists this ribosomal RNA (808 nucleotides) under uncultured Pelagibacteraceae bacterium. RNAcentral's name for it is "bacterial SSU rRNA". It matches the Rfam family "Bacterial small subunit ribosomal RNA", at positions 33 to 889 of the family's 1533-position model. The record is from RNAcentral. Lineage: Bacteria; Pseudomonadati; Pseudomonadota; Alphaproteobacteria; Candidatus Pelagibacterales; Candidatus Pelagibacteraceae.
ACGCUGGCGGCACGCCUAACACAUGCAAGUCGAACGAAGUAGCAAUACUUAGUGGCAGACGGGUGAGUAACAUGUAGGUAUCUGCCCUUUGGCCUGGAAUAACACGAGGAAACUUGUGCUAAUACCGGAUAAGUCUUUACGGAGAAAGCUUUAUGCACCAUUGGAUGAGCCUGCACUUGAUUAGUUUGUUGGUGGGGUAAUGGCCUACCAAGACUGUGAUCAAUAGCUGAUUUGAGAGGAUGAUCAGCCACAUUGGGACUGAGACACGGCCCAAACUCCUACGGGAGGCAGCAGUGGGGAAUCUUGCACAAUGGAGGAAACUCUGAUGCAGCGAUGCCGCGUGAGUGAAGAAGGCCCUUGGGUUGUAAAGCUCUUUCGUCGGGGAAGAAAAUGACUGUACCCGAAUAAGAAGGUCCGGCUAACUUCGUGCCAGCAGCCGCGGUAAUACGAAGGGACCUAGCGUAGUUCGGAAUUACUGGGCUUAAAGAGUUCGUAGGUGGUUGAAAAAGUUAGUGGUGAAAUCCCAGAGCUUAACUCUGGAACUGCCAUUAAAACUUUUCAGCUAGAGUAUGAUAGAGGAAAGCAGAAUUUCUAGUGUAGAGGUGAAAUUCGUAGAUAUUAGAAAGAAUACCAAUUGCGAAGGCAGCUUUCUGGAUCAUUACUGACACUGAGGAACGAAAGCAUGGGUAGCGAAGAGGAUUAGAUACCCUCGUAGUCCAUGCCGUAAACGAUGUGUGUUAGACGUUGGAAAUUUAUUUUCAGUGUCGCAGGGAAACCGAUAAACACACCGCCUGGGGAGUACGACCGC